RNAcentral lists this ribosomal RNA (493 nucleotides) under uncultured bacterium. RNAcentral's name for it is "partial 16S ribosomal RNA". It matches the Rfam family "Bacterial small subunit ribosomal RNA", at positions 28 to 505 of the family's 1533-position model. The record is from RNAcentral.
GACGAACGCUGGCGGCGUGCCUAAUACAUGCAAGUAGAACGCUGAAGGAGGAGCUUGCUUCUCCGGAUGAGUUGCGAACGGGUGAGUAACGCGUAGGUAACCUGCCUGGUAGCGGGGGAUAACUAUUGGAAACGAUAGCUAAUACCGCAUAAGAGUAGAUGUUGCAUGACAUUUGCUUAAAAGGUGCAAUUGCAUCACUACCAGAUGGACCUGCGUUGUAUUAGCUAGUUGGUGGGGUAACGGCUUACCAAGGCGACGAUACAUAGCCGACCUGAGAGGGUGAUCGGCCACACUGGGACUGAGACACGGCCCAGACUCCUACGGGAGGCAGCAGUAGGGAAUCUUCGGCAAUGGACGGAAGUCUGACCGAGCAACGCCGCGUGAGUGAAGAAGGUUUUCGGAUCGUAAAGCUCUGUUGUAAGAGAAGAACGAGUGUGAGAGUGGAAAGUUCACACUGUGACGGUAUCUUACCAGAAAGGGACGGCUAACUACG